Molecule: long non-coding RNA, 1275 nt
Filed under: Gallus gallus (chicken)
Lineage: Eukaryota; Metazoa; Chordata; Aves; Galliformes; Phasianidae
Description: lncRNA (ENSGALG00010003904.1)
Source: RNAcentral
AGAGGCAAAAGGAUGUUCUCCUGCAGUGUUUUGCAAGUUAGGUUUCCUUUUCCUGUACAACACCCAUAACCUUUAUCAGACUGGUUGGUACUCAGCUGGACACACCUAUUGGCCUCAUGAACACUCAUGGAAAGACAUGUAGCUUGAGAAGAAGCACUGCCAAGCACUCUCAUGCUUUCCAGAGUGUUUGCAAAAGCUGUAAAAAUGUCACUGCAAAAACUGUGUGUAUGCUUAUAGAUGUAUGUACGUAGCUAUAUAUUCAUUAUAGAGUGUGACUGAUCACAGCUGUAAAUCACUUACCUACCCUGUACGUAGGAAGGGCAGGUCCAUUUCACAGAUAACCACUGCAGUCACAGAUAAGGUAACGCAAAAUCUCUGCAGAAGUCUGGGGCAGGGAAGAGACAUGGGCCAGGUUUUCCCUGGUAGGGACUUGCUGCUCUCAUCUCCAAAACAGCCUAGAAAACAUUAGGCACAGAAAGGUAAGAAAAGCUGUGUGAGUUUAAGGUGAAUUAUGUGCACUAACUUCUUCACUUUUUUUUUUUUCUUUUUGGAGAAGAUAUCUAAUUUUUGAGACAAUCAGUGAGAUAUAAUCCUUCUAGCCUUCUGAAUCAAUGGAAGCAUCUGAUUCCAGAGUACAGACAUCAUUUUUUUCUUCAGAAUGAAAAGAUGAAGCUGGAACAAGAGCUCUAGAGUGAAGAAGAAUUGUGUGUACUGUGCCAGGGAGAUUACGGCAACACCACAGGCAUGAAAAUAUAAAAGCCACCGUGACUUGAAAAAUAUUUCAAUGAGGAGUUACCAAGACCGGAAUUUCUUGUAAAAACAGUCAAUUACUACAAAUGGACAUUUCCAAGAAUAAAUACUUUGUUGAAGUAUUCUUGACCAGCUUUACUAAGAUUCUGAGAUGCUAUACUGGUAACUCCUUCUCAUCUCUGCUACAAGUGAGGUUGGACCUCACUUUCUUCACAUAAAAAAAAAGGGCAAUUGAACAAGAGUAUGAUGAGAUGUAUUAAACCAUGUAUUAUCUGAAUAUAGCAUGUGGGGUAAAUUCAUCAUUAUAUCUCAGAAAGCCAGAACUAGAAAGCAACCAAUGGCAGACCAAGGUUUGCACGAAGAGAAACUGCAUCUUUGAUCAAAACAACAUGAAUAGUUGGUAAAAUUGUCAUGUUUAUAUCUAUGGUCUAUCUAUUAUAAAGAUAAUGAACAACUACAUAUAACAGUGAAAUUAGCUGGCAACUAAUUAAAAACAAGCAAGCAAAAAAACCUUGAAAAUAAAAG